ACGACGCGAGGACGUUUCGCAAAAGGUGUCCCAAUAAUGAGGCUCUUCGGGAAAGAAGAGACGCCGCCUAUUAAAGGCUCCUCGAAGCGUUCGAUAAUUCAAAACGCACAGUAAAUCAAAAUUUUCGGAAUUCGUGAUGACCCAAUUAAAGCUACUUCCCGCGCUCCAGCUGAUAGCCAACUGGAGCUCGGAAGUCGGGGGGUAGUGUUAGGGGAAAAACCCUAAGUCAUA
RNAcentral lists this long non-coding RNA (231 nucleotides) under Phoenix dactylifera (date palm). Its description in RNAcentral is "long non-coding RNA (PDAC_LNC019575)". Lineage: Eukaryota; Viridiplantae; Streptophyta; Magnoliopsida; Arecales; Arecaceae. The record is from RNAcentral.